GGGUUGUGAGGUUAAGCGACUAAGCGUACACGGUGGAUGCCCUGGCAGUCAGAGGCGAUGAAGGGCGUGCUAAUCUGCGAUAAGCGCCGGUAAGGUGAUAUGAACCGUUAUAACCGGCGAUACCCGAAUGGGGAAACCCAGUGUGAUUCGUCACACUAUCAUUAACUGAAUCCAUAGGUUAAUGAGGCGAACCGGGGGAACUGAAACAUCUAAGUACCCCGAGGAAAAGAAAUCAACCGAGAUUCCCCCAGUAGCGGCGAGCGAACGGGGAGGAGCCCAGAGCCUGAAUCAGCAUGUGUGUUAGUGGAAGCGUCUGGAAAGGCGCGCGAUACAGGGUGACAGCCCCGUACACAAAAGCGCAUGUGCUGUGAGCUCGAUGAGUAGGGCGGGACACGUGGUAUCCUGUCUGAAUAUGGGGGGACCAUCCUCCAAGGCUAAAUACUCCUGACUGACCGAUAGUGAACCAGUACCGUGAGGGAAAGGCGAAAAGAACCCCGGCGAGGGGAGUGAAAAAGAACCUGAAACCGUGUACGUACAAGCAGUGGGAGCCCCACCACCAAAGCAUUCUCUGGUGUUGAAGGCCCUGCAAAGCAGCAUCGCGGUGGCGGAGCGUCGUUUGCGACGCCCAACACACAAAACAAGCGGUGAGUGCUUUGGGGUGGGGUGACUGCGUACCUUUUGUAUAAUGGGUCAGCGACUUAUAUUCUGUAGCAAGGUUAACCGAAUAGGGGAGCCGGAGGGAAACCGAGUCUUAAUUGGGCGUUAAGUUGCAGGGUAUAGACCCGAAACCCGGUGAUCUAGCCAUGGGCAGGUUGAAGGUUGGGUAACACUAACUGGAGGACCGAACCGACUAAUGUUGAAAAAUUAGCGGAUGACCUGUGGCUGGGGGUGAAAGGCCAAUCAAACCGGGAGAUAGCUGGUUCUCCCCGAAAGCUAUUUAGGUAGCGCCUCGUGAAUUCAUCUCCGGGGGUAGAGCACUGUUUCGGCUAGGGGGCCAUCCCGGCUUACCAACCCGAUGCAAACUGCGAAUACCGGAGAAUGUUAUCACGGGAGACACACGGCGGGUGCUAACGUCCGUCGUGAAGAGGGAAACAACCCAGACCGCCAGCUAAGGUCCCAAAGUCAUGGUUAAGUGGGAAACGAUGUGGGAAGGCCCAGACAGCCAGGAUGUUGGCUUAGAAGCAGCCAUCAUUUAAAGAAAGCGUAAUAGCUCACUGGUCGAGUCGGCCUGCGCGGAAGAUGUAACGGGGCUAAACCAUGCACCGAAGCUGCGGCAGCGAACGUAUCACUUAAAGCGAUUCAGCGGGUUACGAUUGACGGAGCGAAGCGACAUCAAAGCGUAUACAAAGUCGAGUCGGUUUAAGGAUACGUUCGUUGGGUAGGGGAGCGUUCUGUAAGCCUGUGAAGGUGGCCUGUGAGGGUUGCUGGAGGUAUCAGAAGUGCGAAUGCUGACAUAAGUAACGAUAAAGCGGGUGAAAAGCCCGCUCGCCGGAAGACCAAGGGUUCCUGUCCAACGUUAAUCGGGGCAGGGUGAGUCGACCCCUAAGGCGAGGCCGAAAGGCGUAGUCGAUGGGAAACGGGUUAAUAUUCCCGUACUUGGUGUUACUGCGAAGGGGGGACGGAGAAGGCUAUGUUGGCCGGGCGACGGUUGUCCCGGUUUAAGCGUGUAGGUGUGUGUUCCAGGUAAAUCCGGUUCACUUUAACACUGAGGCGUGACGACGAGGCACUACGGUGCUGAAGCAACAAAUGCCCUGCUUCCAGGAAAAGCCUCUAAGCAUCAGGUAACAUCAAAUCGUACCCCAAACCGACACAGGUGGUCAGGUAGAGAAUACCAAGGCGCUUGAGAGAACUCGGGUGAAGGAACUAGGCAAAAUGGUGCCGUAACUUCGGGAGAAGGCACGCUGACACGUAGGUGAAGUGAUUUACUCAUGGAGCUGAAGUCAGUCGAAGAUACCAGCUGGCUGCAACUGUUUAUUAAAAACACAGCACUGUGCAAACACGAAAGUGGACGUAUACGGUGUGACGCCUGCCCGGUGCCGGAAGGUUAAUUGAUGGGGUCAGCGCAAGCGAAGCUCCUGAUCGAAGCCCCGGUAAACGGCGGCCGUAACUAUAACGGUCCUAAGGUAGCGAAAUUCCUUGUCGGGUAAGUUCCGACCUGCACGAAUGGCGUAAUGAUGGCCAGGCUGUCUCCACCCGAGACUCAGUGAAAUUGAACUCGCUGUGAAGAUGCAGUGUACCCGCGGCAAGACGGAAAGACCCCGUGAACCUUUACUAUAGCUUGACACUGAACAUUGAGCCUUGAUGUGUAGGAUAGGUGGGAGGCUUUGAAGCGUGGACGCCAGUCUGCGUGGAGCCGACCUUGAAAUACCACCCUUUAAUGUUUGAUGUUCUAACGUGGACCCGUUACCCGGGUUGCGGACAGUGUCUGGUGGGUAGUUUGACUGGGGCGGUCUCCUCCUAAAGAGUAACGGAGGAGCACGAAGGUUGGCUAAUCCUGGUCGGACAUCAGGAGGUUAGUGCAAUGGCAUAAGCCAGCUUGACUGCGAGCGUGACGGCGCGAGCAGGUGCGAAAGCAGGUCAUAGUGAUCCGGUGGUUCUGAAUGGAAGGGCCAUCGCUCAACGGAUAAAAGGUACUCCGGGGAUAACAGGCUGAUACCGCCCAAGAGUUCAUAUCGACGGCGGUGUUUGGCACCUCGAUGUCGGCUCAUCACAUCCUGGGGCUGAAGUAGGUCCCAAGGGUAUGGCUGUUCGCCAUUUAAAGUGGUACGCGAGCUGGGUUUAGAACGUCGUGAGACAGUUCGGUCCCUAUCUGCCGUGGGCGCUGGAGAACUGAGGGGGGCUGCUCCUAGUACGAGAGGACCGGAGUGGACGCAUCACUGGUGUUCGGGUUGUCAUGCCAAUGGCACUGCCCGGUAGCUAAAUGCGGAAGAGAUAAGUGCUGAAAGCAUCUAAGCACGAAACUUGCCCCGAGAUGAGUUCUCCCUGAGACUUAGAGUCUCCUGAAGGAACGUUGAAGACGACGACGUUGAUAGGCCGGGUGUGUAAGCGCAGCGAUGCGUUGAGCUAACCGGUACUAAUGAACCGUGAGGCUUAACCUUACAACGCCGAAG
This 3110-nucleotide ribosomal RNA is filed under the name Salmonella enterica subsp. enterica serovar Moero. Its description in RNAcentral is "23S ribosomal RNA". It matches the Rfam family "Bacterial large subunit ribosomal RNA". Lineage: Bacteria; Pseudomonadati; Pseudomonadota; Gammaproteobacteria; Enterobacterales; Enterobacteriaceae. The record is from RNAcentral.